This is a long non-coding RNA of Anoplopoma fimbria (sablefish), 289 nucleotides long. RefSeq lists it as uncharacterized. NCBI's taxonomy places the organism in Eukaryota, Metazoa, Chordata, Actinopteri, Perciformes, Anoplopomatidae. The transcript is spliced from 4 exons. The record is from RefSeq and is a predicted model, not a curated record.
AAAGCCUCAUGGUUAAAUGUAGGGACUCAGCUAUGAUGUAUAAGAGUAAGGAUCUAGCAGUUUUCAUGGUAAAUAAGGUGGGGGCUAUCAGGUGAUGCUCUCUGAGGAAAUACUGGAAGAAGACUGAGAAGUUGCAGCUUUGGCAGAGGUAACAACACGCUUAGGAUCCCCAUUCUUUGUCUUCAUUGUCACAAAAGGAAAUUAAAACAUCCAUCUGGAAUAUGGCAGAUCAUCUGAAACCUGCUCCUGGGAGGCUUUGACAACGACAUUUAAAAAAAGAAAACGGGAG